UACGUAGGUGGCAAGCGUUGUCCGGAUUUACUGGGCGUAAAGCGCGUGUAGGCGGCCUGUUAAGUCUGUCGUGAAAUCUCCCGGCUCAACCGGGAGGGGUCGACGGAUACUGGCAGGCUUGAGGGAAGCAGAGGAAGGUGGAAUUCCCGGUGUAGUGGUGAAAUGCGUAGAUAUCGGGAGGAACACCAGUGGCGAAGGCGGCCUUCUGGGCUUUUCCUGACGCUGAGACGCGAAAGCGUGGGGAGCGAACCGG
Molecule: ribosomal RNA, 253 nt
Filed under: uncultured bacterium
Lineage: Bacteria
Description: partial 16S ribosomal RNA
Rfam family: Bacterial small subunit ribosomal RNA
Source: RNAcentral